Molecule: ribosomal RNA, 300 nt
Filed under: Triticum aestivum (bread wheat)
Lineage: Eukaryota; Viridiplantae; Streptophyta; Magnoliopsida; Poales; Poaceae
Description: partial small subunit ribosomal RNA
Source: RNAcentral
AUGGGGUUCUUGAGGUUCACAAAUCUCCAGAAUUCAGAUUCAUGCACACCUUCAAAACCGGGGAAGAUACAUUUAGUUUCUAGAACCACUCAUAUUUUUUUAUUUUCAGCGCAUAAUGUAGAGAUCAAAAGAAUUACUCUAUGUUUAUGCCAGGGUGUAUUUUUAACGAGGAAACAUCGUUUUCACCAACAAGGUACUAUAUAUUCUCAUUCGGAAGAAAAAAGAGCAACUUUCAUGUGUCCUCAAGUUACCCUGUGUUUGCUUAGCCUUGCUUUGUGUGUGCCAAAAAGAAAAUAUUAA